ACUCGCGAACCGCGAGAUCGUGACCUGAGCUGAAGUCGGACGCUUAACGGACUGAGCCACCCAGGCGCCCCUCCCCGGACUCUUUUUAACCCCAAUUGCAUUGAGCUGCAUCCUUUAUCCCAUACGAAAGGGUUUUCUCCAAAGACUGGUUGCACACGUACACACACGCACCCACGAUGCCGGCAGGGUGUUUUGAGCGCCACUUCGCGUGGCACCUGAAACGGAUUUACCCCAGCUGUUAGAAGGGAGCGUUGUAAAAUGUUACACCGUCGUUUUAAUGCAUUACAAAAACUUAAAAAUAUUCUCAAAUGUGUCUCUACCUUUCUGGAGAAGGGAUUAUGCAUUGUUCUGAUUUGUCUCUUUAUCCGUUUCUUUGCAAAAUACUACUUUAUGGCUUUAUUGUGAUAACAGACAACAAAUAAUACAUCUUUUAGUGUGUGCUUGACAAAAGUCCCGGGAUGUUCUGGAGUUUUACUAGUUUGAGAUCUCCACGACGUAGGAAACUGAUUUAGUGGAUAGAGCCCGUCCUGGUUUUGACCUUCAAGGCUAGAUAAUGUGAUUUAAAGCUCGAGAGUUACUCUGCCAGACACUUCAAAGAGUUCACUAACGUUUCGCUAAUGCCUUUCAUUCAGCAAACAUUGUUGACUACCCAUUAUAACUUAAAAACAGGUGUCUGCCCUUACUUUAGAUUUUUGAUUAGGCAAAUUACCCAAAUCUCUCUAAGCUUAUCUUCCUGUUAUCAAAAUUGGGGAAAAUAUAAUAUUCAAGCCUUGUUCCAGAAUUGUUCAAAGAAUCAAAAGGUCAUCUACCAUGGAAAAGCAAAGUGUCCUGUAAAAGUAAGGAACCAUGAAGAGGUUCUCAGACAUCAGCCUUUCCUGAUUAACAAAACCCAGCGCCCGUCAUUCUUGAAUCCAGAAUAUUAAAGUCUAGAAAGCCGGCUGUAAGUUUACUGUUCUUUUUGUGUUGGCUGUUUCUUCCUUUGAACUCAGAAUGCCUAACAAGUGCUGAUUGGCAAAAGGGGGUGGAUGGACUGAAAAAAUGUUACCAUAAAAACAAACUUAAGUUGUACACAAACCUUCAAACUGCAUGGAUGGACUGAUCCACUUCAGCUCCUCUUCCACUUGUAAAGCAUCUUAAGCUUAGAUACUAUGUUGUGCAACGUGCCGCUCACAAGUAUUUCCACCACACUUGUUUCUCACGGAAGUGCCACCUGCUGUACCUACCACUGCUCUGAACUUUGAGAAAUAACUGCAGAUGAAGAAAAAAAGAAGGCUUGGUUACGCCACACACGAAUCCAGUCAGUGAUGGACAGUUCCAGACGCGUGGUCACCUGGUGUCCCCGGGGCAAGUUUUCCGUCUCUUAUCAUGGCCCAGUAGCACACUCCGCUACAACUGGCGUGUUCUUGCUCCAGAGUUUCCACUGGAUCUUGCCAUCAACUACGCACCAUUUCUUUUUCCACGACUGUCGCCUUCACCACCAUUGGUCUGCCGUAUCAUCAGCUCCAAAGCUAUAUACUUAAAGCUGUCACCUGAUAUAUUGUGCACAGCAGUAUUACCAGGGAUGGCAUGCAUGUCUCCACCACCUGAAGAGGCCUAGCCAGGGCCGUGUUUCCUUCUUCGAGAAAGGGCACUGUGACUUUGCCUCUCGAGACGUAGAGUCCUCUCCCUUGAAUCUGGGCUGGGCAGUGGAAUGCAGCCAAAGUGGUGUAUGACCUCCAAGAGUGGAUGAGAAGUUUACAGCCUAACCUGCUCUUGCCCCUAAUGUCUCCUUUGAGAAUCCAGCUGCUUGCUCCAAGAAUCCCAAGCUAGGAGGAGAGGCUACACUGAAGUAAGUGCUUUGGGCAACAGUCCAGCUGA
Lynx canadensis (Canada lynx) is the source of this 1857-nucleotide long non-coding RNA. RefSeq lists it as uncharacterized. Lineage: Eukaryota; Metazoa; Chordata; Mammalia; Carnivora; Felidae. The record is from RefSeq and is a predicted model, not a curated record. The transcript is spliced from 3 exons.